Molecule: transfer RNA, 96 nt
Filed under: Pseudoleptotrichia goodfellowii F0264
Lineage: Bacteria; Fusobacteriati; Fusobacteriota; Fusobacteriia; Fusobacteriales; Leptotrichiaceae
Description: tRNA-Ser
Rfam family: tRNA
About the family: Transfer RNA (tRNA) molecules are approximately 80 nucleotides in length. Their secondary structure includes four short double-helical elements and three loops (D, anti-codon, and T loops).
Source: RNAcentral
UGGAGAAGUGGCAGAGAGGCCGAAUGCGCUCCCCUGCUAAGGGAGUAUCCGAGCUAAAACUUGGAUCGAGGGUUCAAAUCCCUCCUUCUCCGCCAU